Molecule: non-coding RNA, 5030 nt
Organism: Xyrichtys novacula (pearly razorfish)
Lineage: Eukaryota; Metazoa; Chordata; Actinopteri; Labriformes; Labridae
Source: the annotation of a GenBank genome assembly
GUUUAAAAGAUGCUUUCAUUGACCCAACAACAAGGUUUUAAAAGUGUUUUCAAUUACAGGAGGGCAAAUCAACAAGGUUUGAAUGGUGCUUUCAGGGACACAAUGGUAAUACCAGGUUUAAUUGAAAUGGUGUUUUUUCAAUAAUGGAGACAAUCAACAACAAGGUUUAAAAGGUGUUUUCUGUUACAAAAGUAUAAACCAACAAGGUUCACAAAGAUGCUUUCAAAGGUUCAACGGCACCAUAUUAAAACAGACAAGGUUCAUAAGGUUCUGUCAGGGACAUGGUGAUAAUACAAACAAGGUUUUAAAGGUGUUUUCAAUGACAAAAGGGCAAAUCAACAAGGUUUAAAUGGUCCCUUCAGAGGUUCAAUGGUCAUACAAGGUUUAAAUGGUGUUUUUAAUGAUAAAGGGGAAAAUCAACGACAAUCAACACAAAGGUGCAAGGUGACAGGUGUGUGUGUGUGCUUGAGCAUGAUCUCUUCCUGUUUUUAUGUUGAUAUGUUUGUUUGGGUCAGUGUUUCAAAUGUUGUGACUAUAACCUCUCUUGAAAACCCAGUAGGUGACGCUGCAGCUUGGUAUUUUGUGUGUACUUGGUUGUUUGCAUUGAAGCAGGUGUCCUCCAGGAUCUGGAUGUCAGAGUGUAUUGGCUCUAAAGUGACACUGCAGCAUUUUCUGUCUGCAGAAAGAUUUAUGUUUUACUGUACAGAUAUGUGUUUCUGUCUCUAUCAUACUUGUUUUCUGUUUCUGUAAAGACCUAGUUUUAUGUGGUUUUUUUCCAGGAACAGGUUCUGAUCUCUUCUAGAAAUGGACCCAGCUGGAGAUGAGCAUCAAACUCGAUUUUAAACCCAAAAAACAAGGUUCAAAGGUGGUUUAAAAAACUUGAUCUCAAACAAAAAACAACGUUCAAAAGGUGCUUUCAAAAACUUAAUCUCAAAAAGGUUCAAAAGGUGCUUUCAAAAACCUGUUCUCAGACGAAUAACAAGGUUCAAAAGGUGCUUUCAAAAACUUAAUCUCAAACAAGGUUCAAAAGGUGGUUUAAAAAACUUAAUCUCAAACAAAAAACAAGGUUCAAAAGUUGCUCUCAAAAACUUGGUCUCAGACAAGUUUGAAAAGGUUCAAAAGGUGUUUGUAUUGGAAUCUUUGAAGUGUGCUUGUCAUAAUCUGUAUUUGUUGUACCUUUUUUGUGUAUUUUAUUUUCUAUUUCAUCGUGAAUCUUUGAAUCUCUGUGUUUGAAUCUUUGAACUUUGCUUGUUAUAAUCUGUAUUUGUUAUACCUUUUUUUUGGUUUGUGUGUUUUCUUUUUGUAUUUGUUUUGGUUUUUUUGUUUGUGUUUUUUUAAUUAUUUUUUUUUAUUUUGUAUACAUUUUUUGUAAACCUUUUCAAAUCUGUCCUUGAACUAUGCUUGUUAUGAUCUGUAUAUGUUGUACCUUUUUUGGGUUGUUUUGUGUUUGUUUUUUUUGUUUGUUUUUUUUUUGUCUUAUUUAUUUUGUAUAAAUGUUUUGUAAACAUUUUUGAAUCCAUCCCUGAACUAUGCUUGUUAUGAUCUGUACGCGUUGUACCUUCUUUUUGGUUUGUUUGUUUUCUUUUUGUAUUUGUUUGUUUUUUUGUUGUUUGUGUUAUUUUAUUUUAUUUUUAAUUUUGUAUAAAUGUUUUGUGAACCUUUUUGAAUCUGUCCUUGAACUAUGCUUGUUAUGAUCUGUAUAUGUUGUAUCUUUUUUUGGGUUUGUUUGUUUGUUUGUGUUUUAUUUUUGUUUGUUUUUGUUUGUUUGUUUGUGUGUGAUUUUAUUUUAUUUUUAAUUUUGUAUAAAUUUUUUUAACCUUUUCAAAUCUGUCCUUGAACUAUGCUUGUAAUGAUCUGUAUAUGUUGUACCUUUUUUGGGGUUUGUUUGUUUAAGUGUUUUCUUUUUGUAUUUGUUUGUUUUUUUGUUGUUUGUGUUAUUUUCUUUUUCUUUUUAAUUUUGUAAACCUUUUCAAAUCUGUCCUUGAACUAUGCUUGUUAUGAUCUGUAUAUGUUGUACCUUUUUUGGGGUUUGUUUGUGUGUUUUUUUGUUUUUUUGUCUGUUUUUUAUUUUAUUUUUUUUUUUAAAUUUGUAUAAAUGUUUUGUAAACCUUUUUGAAUCUGUCCUUGAACUAUGCUUGUUAUGAUCUGUAUGUGUUGUACCUUUUUUGGGUUUGUUUGUUUGUGUGUUUUCUUUUUGUUUGUUUUUGGUUUUUUUUGUUGUUUGUGUUAUUUUAUUUUAUUUUUAAUUUUGUAUAAUUUUUUUUAACCUUUUCAAAUCUGUCCUUGAACUAUGCUUGUUAUGAUCUGUAUGUGUUGUACCUUUUUGGGGGUUUGUUUGUUUUUCUUUUUGUAUUUGUUUGUUUGUUUGUUGUUUGUGUUAUUUUUUUUCUUUUCUUUUUAAAUUUUUUUGAAUCUGUCCUUGAACUAUGCUUGUUAUGAUCUGUAUAUGUUGAACCUUUUUUGGGUUUGUUUGUUUGUUUGUGUAUUUUCUUUUUGUUUGUUUUUGUUUUUUUGUUGUUUGUGUUAUUUUAUUUUUAAAUUUUGUAUUAAUUUUUUGUAAACCUUUUUGAAUCUGUCCUUGAACUAUGUUUGUUAUGAUCUGUAUGUGUUGUACCUGACCAUGAGGGGACCACCGUUUUCCUGGAGGAACUGUUGCUACAGGAAGUGCUGCCUUCCUGUGCUCUCUGAGAAAUCCAAGGAUUGUCAUUGUGUUGAAGGUAAGAUGAAGUGGGGAAAUGGUAGGAUGUACUUUUCGUCGUGCUAAUGCGAUGUUUUUACCAAAGUAAACAAAUGAAAGCAUGUAAGAAACUAGGUCCUGCAUUCUGAUAACUUCAUGCAUAUCUGGUUUCAAACAGAUUUCACUGUUUUUAAGUCGAGCAUUUUCUGCAUACCUCCACAAGUGUAUGUGUUUCUCUGCUUUUCCCCAAACAUCACAGAAGUGUGCAGCUUCGGCGUUGAACCUGGCAACCACUGCUGUCUUCAGGAAGGAUCCCAAUCACCUCAAAGAGCUGCUCCCCCAUUCUUAGAUCAACUUUCCUCUGUUUAAGAUGUGCUUCAACUGUUCUCUCAAAGUUUAAUCCCACCUAAGCAUGAUCUCUUCCUGUUUUUAUGUUGGUGUUAUGUUUGUUUGGGUUGGUGGUUCAAAUGUUGUGACUAUAACCUCUCUUGAAAACCCAGCUGGUGAUAUUGCAGCUUGGUAUUUUGUGUGUACUUGGGUGUUUGCAUUGAAGCAGGUGUCCUCCAGGAUGUGGAUGUCAGAGUGUAUUGGCUCUAAAGUGACACUGCAGCCUUUUCUGUCUGCAGAAAGAUAUUUGUUUAACUGUACAGAUAUGUGUUUCUAUCUCUAACAAUCAUACUUGUUUUCUGUUUCUGUAAAGACCUGUAAAGGUUUUAUGUUAUUUUUCAGGAACAGGUCUUGGAUUGAAACAACAAUCAAACCAACAAGGUUCACAACAAUGCUUUUAGAGACGAUGUUGUUAAUGGACACCAAGGUGUAUGAGGUGCUUCCAGAAAUGCAAUGGUUAUACAAUGGUUUAAAAGAUGCUUUCAUUGACCCAACAACAAGGUUUUAAAAGUGUUUUCAAUUACAGGAGGGCAAAUCAACAUGGUUUGAAUGGUGCUUUCAGGGACACAAUGGUAAUACCAGGUUUAAUUGAAAUGGUGUUUUCAAUGAUGGAGACGAUCAACAACAAGGUUUAAAAGGUGUUUUCAUCUACAAAAGUAUAAACCAACAAGGUUCACAAAGAUGCUUUCAAAGGUUCAACGGCACCAUAUUAAAACAGACAAGGUUCUUAAGGUUCUGUCAGGGACAUGGUGAUACUACAAACAAGGUUUUAAAUGUGUUUUCAAUGACAAAAGGGCAAAUCAACAAGGUUUAAAUGGUCCCUUCAGAGGUUCAAUGGUCAUACAAGGUUUAAAUGGUGUUUUUAAUGAUAAAGGGGGAAAUCAACAACAAGGUUGAAAAUGUGUUUUCAUUUACAAAAGUAUGAACCAACAAGUUUCACAAAGAUGCUUUCAAAGGUUCAACAGCACCAUAUUAAAACAGACAAGGUUCUUUCUGAGAAGUGGUGAUAAUACUAUCAAGGUUUAAAAGGUGUUUUCAAUGACAAGGGGCAAAUCAACAACAAGGUGAAAAAGGUGGUUGAAGAACAAGGUUUUACAGGUUUUAUGGCAUUCAAGGUUAUUUCCUUUUUUUUUUUUUUUUUUUUUUCAUGAAACUUAAAUGAAUACUUUCUUGGCCCAGCAGUAAAAUAACAAAAUCCAAAAGUAACAACUAAAGCAAAAUCAUCAAACAACAGCUCUGAGGGAAACAACAAAACAGCAAACUUCUCAAAGGAAACCUUGGACAACCUCAACAUCAACGUCAAACCUCAUCAACAUCUCCUCUACAGCUUCAACCAACAUGAUGAUGGGGAAAACAAACGUGCCCUUAAAAUGUCUUUUAUUGUGGGGAUUUUUUUUGUGUGUGUGUGUGAUUUUGCAGGGUUUUUCAUGUUUUUGUUUGUUUGUUUUGACCCUUCAGUCUCUGUAAAAACCUGAUAUCUGUACUCGUCAUGGUUUCUGUGUCCUGAUAAUCUGUGCAAGGGUUUUCUGCAUCCCUCUGGCUGCACAUGUAUGUAUCUACUUUUCCCCCAGAACAUGUGGGAGGUCUUGAGUUGUGGCGUUCGAUUUGCUGACCACCACCAGGCUCUGGGAGGAUCUGUUGCUGCCCCACCUUGAAGACCUGCUCCUCCAUCCAGACUGGGAAGAGUCACCAUCACGCUGAAGGUAGCUGGAAGUUCACUUUUAAUUAUUCUUAAGUGAUUUUACCCACAGUGUCUGAGAGUUUUUGAGAAAGUUUUUGAAGUUCUUGUGGUUGUUUUGACUGGGGUCCAAAAACUCCAGCUUUUCUGGGGGUCUUUAGACACUCAUUUUGUAGUGACCCAUCUUUUUCUGUUUCUCCAAAAACCAUCGAGUGUUGUUACAGAGUCUAUGCCGGAGAAGACCUUUGCAGACCCCCAUCACCUGAGCCUUUGCGUACUGGGUUACAA